Molecule: long non-coding RNA, 1045 nt
Organism: Saccostrea echinata
Lineage: Eukaryota; Metazoa; Mollusca; Bivalvia; Ostreida; Ostreidae
Exons: 3
Source: RefSeq, a predicted model, not a curated record
AUGUACAUUUAAUGUCCUCUUCACAAGGAGGGUUUAAUUCAUAUUAUGAACAUUUCUUAUCAACAACCCUAUAAGAAGAAGGACCUCUGUUCUACAGCUUGUGGUGGAUCAUUGAUCACAUGAUAAUCAACCAAGUUUAAAGGAAGCAUGUACAUGUAACCACAAUAGAAAGAUUUAAGGAUUGUGAGAAACCAAAUAUGACACAUCAGAAUAAAGUCCAUGGGAGUAUGAAAAAAAGAAUAGUAGAGUGUAAUCCUCAGAACUUUCUUCAGACUUCCACAAAGUCAGGAAAAUACUGUUGAACUGACAAAAUGAACAAAAUCAUGAUUCUCAAAAAUUGAAGGAAGACGUGUGAGUUAAGACUUUUGAUGACAAUUAAGAAUCAACCAUUGGAAAUACAGCUUUGAACUUGGAUCUCAUUAUUGAUGCUUGCAUGAUGGUGGACUGAGGAAGAAAACCAGGACAAAAGAAAAUUCCUUGUGUUCGUCAGAAAAAAUAAAUCAUGCAGCCAUUUUGAGUGCUUGAAUGCCCAACUGAGAGAGCCAGCCAGUGCUGAAAAUAUUUCUUGGAAGUUAAACCAAAUCUGCUGUGACAAUUGAAUUAAAGCUUUAAAAGUACAUUUAAAAACAUACUGAUUCAUCUAUAAGUGAGACUUGAUUGCCUUUGACAGUUGCCAGUGGAAUUCAGAUCUUUGUACCAGUAUUAACAGUAUUAAUAUAUUGAAGUGAUUCGCCUUAAAAUUACAUUUGUAUAUGGUGUAAUUACCUCAAGGAGAUAUAACACACCUGGUUAAACAGUAAUUAAGGUUCAUAGCUAAACAUGGAUAUGGAAUUUAGCUUACCUGAUCCAAAAGGGAAUUAAUGACAUUGCACAAUUCUGAUAAAAAGAAGUCUCUGGUAUCCAACAAUGCAACAUUUAUAUGUUUGACUGUUUGUCCUCCAUUAACUUUUAACAUUUUCUAUUUUUUUUUCUAACAUUUGUUCAGUGUAAACCACAUUUAUACAAUGUAUCUCUGCUUAAAAGGAAUAAAGCUUAUUAAAAUAAA